GACGAACGCUGGCGGCGUGCCUAAUACAUGCAAGUAGAACGCUGAAGAGAGGAGCUUACUCUUCUUGGAUGAGUUGCGCACGGGUGAGUAACGCGUAGGUAACCUGCCUUGUAGCGGGGGAUAACUAUUGGAAACGAUAGCUAAUACCGCAUAACAAUGGAUGACACAUGUCAUUUAUUUGAAAGGGGCAAUUGCUCCACUACAAGAUGGACCUGCGUUGUAUUAGCUAGUAGGUGAGGUAAUGGCUCACCUAGGCGACGAUACAUAGCCGACCUGAGAGGGUGAUCGGCCACACUGGGACUGAGACACGGCCCAGACUCCUACGGGAGGCAGCAGUAGGGAAUCUUCGGCAAUGGGGGCAACCCUGACCGAGCAACGCCGCGUGAGUGAAGAAGGGUUUCGGAUCGUAAAGCUCUGUUGUAAGUCAAGAACGGGUGUGAGAGUGGAAAGUUCACACUGUGACGGUAGCUUACCAGAAAGGGACGGCUAACUACGUG
RNAcentral lists this ribosomal RNA (497 nucleotides) under uncultured bacterium. Its description in RNAcentral is "partial 16S ribosomal RNA". It matches the Rfam family "Bacterial small subunit ribosomal RNA", at positions 28 to 507 of the family's 1533-position model. The record is from RNAcentral.